CAAGACCUUGGCGCUCUUGGAGCGGCCGAUGUCUGAUUAGCUAGUUGGUGAGGUAAUGGCUUACCAAGGCGACGAUCAGUAGCUGGUCUGAGAGGACGACCAGCCACACUGGGACUGAGACACGGCCCAGACUCCUACGGGAGGCAGCAGUGGGGAAUUUUGGACAAUGGGGGAAACCCUGAUCCAGCCAUGCCGCGUGAGUGAAGAAGGCCUUCGGGUUGUAAAGCUCUUUCAGCCGGAACGAAACGGUCACGGCUAAUAUCCGUGACUACCGACGGUACCGGAAGAAGAAGCACCGGCUAACUACGUGCCAGCAGCCGCGGUAAUACGUAGGGUGCGAGCGUUAAUCGGAAUUACUGGGCGUAAAGCGUGCGCAGGCGGUUUUGUAAGUCAGACGUGAAAGCCCCGGGCUUAACCUGGGAACU
This 425-nucleotide ribosomal RNA is filed under the name uncultured Nitrosospira sp. RNAcentral describes it as "bacterial SSU rRNA". It matches the Rfam family "Bacterial small subunit ribosomal RNA", at positions 202 to 622 of the family's 1533-position model. The record is from RNAcentral. Lineage: Bacteria; Pseudomonadati; Pseudomonadota; Betaproteobacteria; Nitrosomonadales; Nitrosomonadaceae.